Molecule: small RNA, 62 nt
Filed under: Caenorhabditis elegans
Lineage: Eukaryota; Metazoa; Nematoda; Chromadorea; Rhabditida; Rhabditidae
Description: Unclassified non-coding RNA Y57A10A.44
Source: RNAcentral
GUACUUUAAGCCCCGCAGCGAGUGCUGAUUUAGCUCUAAUGGAAAGUGCCGAAGCCAUUGUU